GAAUGAACGCUGGCGGCGUGCUUAACACAUGCAAGUCGAGCGAGGCGGAAGGGGGCAACUCCUUCCAGUCGAGCGGCGGACGGGUGAGUAACACGUGGGUAACCUGCCCGGAAGUGGGGAAGUACCUCGGGAAACUCGAGCUAAUACCGCAUAACAUCUUUGGGACGAAAGUCCUGACGAUCAAAGCGGGGUCGCAAGAUCUCGCGCUACCGGAUGGGCCCGCGCCCGAUUAGCUAGUUGGUGAGGUAACGGCUCACCAAGGCUUCGAUCGGUAACCGGCCUGAGAGGGCGAUCGGUCACACCGGAACUGAGACACGGUCCGGACUCCUACGGGAGGCAGCAGUGGGGAAUCUUGCGCAAUGGGCGAAAGCCUGACGCAGCAACGCCGCGUGGA
This 394-nucleotide ribosomal RNA is filed under the name uncultured bacterium. RNAcentral's name for it is "bacterial SSU rRNA". It matches the Rfam family "Bacterial small subunit ribosomal RNA", at positions 27 to 405 of the family's 1533-position model. The record is from RNAcentral.